RNAcentral lists this ribosomal RNA (407 nucleotides) under uncultured bacterium. Its description in RNAcentral is "partial 16S ribosomal RNA". It matches the Rfam family "Bacterial small subunit ribosomal RNA", at positions 28 to 526 of the family's 1533-position model. The record is from RNAcentral.
GACGAACGCUGGCGGCGUGCCUAAUACAUGCAAGUAGGACGCAGUUGCGAACGGGUGAGUAACGCGUAGGUAACUGCCUAUUAGAGGGGGAUAACUAUUGGAAACGAUAGCUAAUACCGCAUAAUAGUAGAUGGACCUGCGUUGUAUUAGCUAGUAGGUAGGGUAAUGGCCUACCUAGGCAAGGAUACAUAGCCGACCGUAGAUGGGGAUCGGCCACACUGGGACUGAGAGACGGCCCAGACUCCUACGGGAGGCAGCAGUAGGGAAUCUUCGGCAAUGGGGGGAACACUGACCGCGAAAAGCCGCGUGAGUGAAGAAGGUUGUCGGAUCGUAAAGCUCUGUUGUUAAGGAAGCGGUACUUAACCAGAAAGGGACGGCUAACUACGUGCCAGCAGCCGCGGUAAUAC